Molecule: ribosomal RNA, 999 nt
Filed under: Triticum aestivum (bread wheat)
Lineage: Eukaryota; Viridiplantae; Streptophyta; Magnoliopsida; Poales; Poaceae
Description: partial small subunit ribosomal RNA
Source: RNAcentral
AUGGCCUCCUUCCCCUCCGUCUCCGUGGCGAGGGCGAGGCCGAGACCCUUCCUCCUGCUGGCGGCGGCGGUGGUCGCGGUGGCGGUGCUCGCGCGCGGCGCCCACGCGCAGCUCUCCGCGGGGUUCUACUCGGCGAGCUGCCCCACCGUGCACGGCGCCGUGCGCCAGGUCAUGUCGCAGGCCGUCAUCAACGACACGCGCACCGGCGCCGCCAUCCUCCGCCUCUUCUUCCACGACUGCUUCGUCAACGGCUGCGACGCCUCGCUGCUGCUCGACGACACGGCCACGACGCCCGGCGAGAAGAGCUCCGGCCCCAACGCCGGCGGCUCCACCUUCGGCUUCGACGUCAUCGACAACAUCAAGACGCAGGUCGAGGCCGCCUGCCCCGGCACCGUCUCCUGCGCCGACAUCCUCGCCCUCGCCGCGCGCGACAGCGUCAACCUGCUGGGCGGGCCGAGCUGGGCGGUGCCCCUGGGGCGGCGCGACGCGACGGCCCCGGACCCGGACGGGGCGAGGACGCUGCCGGGCCCGGACCUGGACCUCGCCGCGCUCGUCUCCGCCUUCGCCGCCAAGGGGCUCACGUCGCGCGACCUGGCCGCGCUCUCGGGCGCGCACACGGUGGGCAUGGCGCGCUGCGUCCAGUUCCGCACGCACGUCUACUGCGACGCCAACGUGAGCCCGGCCUUCGCGACGCAGCAGCGGCAGCUCUGCCCGGCCUCCGGCGGCGACGCCGGCCUCGCGCCGCUCGACCCGCUCACCCCCAACGAGUUCGACAACGGCUACUACCGCAACCUCAUGUCCGGCGCCGGGCUGCUGCGCUCCGACCAGGAGCUCUUCAACAACGGCCAGCUGGACUCCCUGGUGCGGCUCUACAGCGCCAACCCCGCUGCUUUCUCGGCCGACUUCGCCGCCUCCAUGAUCAACCUCGGGAACGUCAGCCCGCUCACCGGGUCCAGCGGGGAGAUCAGGCUCGAUUGCAGGAAAGUCAAUUCUUCUUGA